RNAcentral lists this long non-coding RNA (1445 nucleotides) under Anser brachyrhynchus (Pink-footed goose). Its description in RNAcentral is "lncRNA (ENSABRG00000019856.1)". Lineage: Eukaryota; Metazoa; Chordata; Aves; Anseriformes; Anatidae. The record is from RNAcentral.
GAGCAGUCUGCUGGGGCGACGGAGGCUUGGAGCGAGCGGCACCGGGGGUCCCAUCAGGGACGUCUCGCUAGCGGCACGCCGGGCUGGCGAAGCGCGCUCCGGUCCGGGUGGCGAAGCAUCGGCGAGUUCCUAUCGGCCUCGCUCCGGCCCUUUUAUCUGUCUCAGAUUUACUUAAAUCAAUAGACAUCGGCAAAGGCCACCGAGGAGUCCCAGCUGUUUGUAUUAGAUGGAGCUGCCGCGAUGAGCCUUCUCCUUGGGUUUCCAGCUAGCCAGACGGCACGCAUGAGAGACCGGGAGCAGGAGGAGGGGGGAGAGGGAGAGACCCACUGAAAUUCGGCAGGAGACCGCGGGGAAAAUAGCUGGUCGGCAGAGCAUAGAAAUAAAAGCCGCUUCCUGCAACAAUAGCCCGAUCUGCGACCAAUUGAUACAAAGCAGAGGAGGCAAAAGGUAUCGGGCUCGUGUGAACUCCCAGAGUGCAGCGUGGAUAAAAUUACACACACGCAGCAUCUCUUCCCGGCGCGCCGCACGCACCCCCCCACGCUCACACCCCCGCCGGGGGGGGCUGCGGCCGCCGCCCUCCGCCCCGCGCAUCCCCCGCGGGGCUCCGCCGCCCCCUGCCCAGCCCGGUGUACCGGUGCCCGGCGCAGGCGGCCUCGGAAAAAGCGCACGUUAAACGCAGGAGCCGCGGAGAGGGGCUCAGCGCCCGGCUGCUCGGGGGGCUCACGGUGGGAGAGCGUUUUAGUGGGGCAGGUCUUCAGGAUACAGUCGUUUCCAAAUUAGCUUGGACAAAGUAGGGCCCGGCCGGAAAGCAAAAAGUUGUCGUAUACGUCCUCGGAUGCAUUUCCAAGAAGCUGGAGCUAAUCCUUUUUCUUAACUUUGGUGCCUGGGACUCUUCUCACUGGGAAAUGCCAUACAGUCUCCUCUUUCUUCUAGAUGAGAUGUCUGAUAAGGACAGGCGAGUUUCUAUUUCAUUAUGUCUGAAUAUGCCCUGCAUCAGCGAGUUACAUCUCAUAGAUGCGGCAUCUUCGAUGUCUUUACUGAGGCCUUUUUUCGGGCAGGAAGAAAGAUGCCCACCCCUGAACAGACCGACGCAGACAUAGACACACACAUGCACACAUGCACACCUGCAUCCCCUAACCAAAUGUAACGCCUGAACUUGCAAACCCUUUGUCAUGAAAGUAAUCUUUAUUCACGUGAGCAACCCCGCAGGACUAUUCAUGCAAUGGAGAAUUACUCACAUGAGUAAAACUUUGCAGGAUCAGGUCCUGGAUCUAACAACAGCAUUUUAAUUACAGACAAUCCCCAAGCAAUGUGUACAAAAGAGUUUUUUCCUGGACAAUAACAAAGGUUAUUAGCCUGUUCUUUUUUCCCCUUCUUGCUCUUUGGUUUAAAAGGAGGCACCAAUAAUCCAAACCAAAUAAAACUGACCUUUGAACCUUUUCUGC